Molecule: long non-coding RNA, 2442 nt
Filed under: Hordeum vulgare
Lineage: Eukaryota; Viridiplantae; Streptophyta; Magnoliopsida; Poales; Poaceae
Description: long non-coding RNA (HVUL_LNC000965)
Source: RNAcentral
GCUCAUGGGCCUGAUAUGCUGCUCGGUGGCACUAUGCCUCCAGAUUCGGCCCACUUAUUUUUUUUCCAUGUGUCCCUCUGAAUUUGUCUAAUUUCAGUGUAGAUGUAUUUUUUUAAAACGCUGUACUUUUUAAACCGUGCGUCGGAUCACGACGAGUGAUAUAUGUAUAUCAUGUAGAAUUUCGCGUAGAGUAAUAUUUUCCAACUCUCAUGCAUGAUUAAAACCGUUAAGCUUGCUGGUUGCAUCGUUUCGCGUGACGUGCCGUGCUAAUACCGUUCUACCCGUAACAUUUGAUCCGUACCUCCGUUGGAGAUGAUCUAUAUAUGUAAAUCGAGUAGGACGAUGAGUAGAAUCAUGGGAAUCACUUUGUUUUACCGUUUAACAAACAUAAAAUGUGAUUAGGACAAAUCUGGACAGAAUUAGAAUUUAACGCAUGGGGUCAUUUCGGAGAUGCUAUAUGUCGUAUCGGGCCUCAUUUAAAAUGCCUAGAUAGGUAGAUUAAUUACGCUUCACCUCUUGCCAUGUUUAAUAACAUUUAAUAUUGCCGUGUAAAUUAACAGGAGUGAACUAAAUAAUUAAACGUGGAGUUUCGUCGAUAUGCAACCCGUUGCAUAUCGAGCUUCACUUAAUGUGUCGUGUUUGCGUGAGGUGAAUUGCCAUGCCAUCCCGUGCAUCGAUGAACUGAUCAUGCAUCAUAUUAGGGUAUGCAUCAUGUUAUGCAUCGUGUGGUGAAUAUCUGUGUUGAUGUUUGUUUCCAAUUUGCUCCGUCUCGAUAGGGUUCCGCAAGCGUGUCAAAAUGUGAGGACCCGUUCGACUACGUUGGUUUGCCGACUCCACCGAGUUGUUCUUGUUCAAAGCGGGAUCUCAGGCAAGAUGACCGUUUCCCCAGAUACCAUUACUAUCAUUGCCAUGCUAGUUUUACCGUUUCUACCGUUUAUGUCUCGUUGCCUACCACAUGUUAAAUAUCAGCCUCUCAACAAUGCCAUGAAACCUUCAACCUGUUCAACUUAGCAAACCACUGAUUGGCUAUGUUACUACUUGUUUAACCAUGUUGUUAGCGUUGCUAGUUGCAGGUGCAUUGCUUCCAUGUGAAAGCAUGGGUUCCUUGUUAUAUCACCAUAUUACUGCUAUUUAAUUUAAUGCACCUAUAUACUUAUUAAAAGGUGGAAGGCUCGGCCUUACUAGCCUGGUGUUUUGUUCCACCUUUGCCCUCUUAGUUUUCGGCUACUGGUGUUAUGUUCCAUAAAUGAGCGCUCCUAACACGAUUGGGGUUGUUAUGGGGACCCCCUUGAUAAUUCGUUUUAGAUUAAGAUUGGUCUAGCAAGGCCCAACUUUGGUACUACAUUUGCCUAAACACCUAAUAAAAUUGCAUAGGGACUUUCCUGACCCCGAGGAUAAUUUAAUCAACCCGGGGCCAGUGCUCCUCAUGAGUGUUGGUCCAAACUGGCAGACUACGGGGCCACCGCGGGGCAACCCGAGGUAUGGUUCUCCUAGUGUGACCCAUUCGUCGUGUCCUGAGAACGAGAUACGCGGCUCCUAUCGAGAUCAUCGACACAUCGGGUGGCCUUGCUGGAUUAGUUUUACCUUUGAUGAAAUAUCUUGUGCAUCGGGAUUCCGGUGAUGCUUUGGAUAAACUCAGAGUUGAGGUUUUCCACUAAGGAAUCCGACGAGAUUGCGAGCUUCGUGAUCGAGGGUUUCUAUGCGGCUUGUGGUAAUUUGUGAUGGACUAGUUGGAGCACCCAUGCAGGGUUAAAUCUUUUGGAAAGCCGUGCCCGCGGUUAUGUGGCAACGUGGAAACUUUGUUUAACACUUGUUCUAGAUAACUUGAGUAAUUUAAUUAAAAUAUGGCAACUGUGUGCGUAACCGUGACUGUCUCUUUCGUGAGUUCCUUCUCCGAUCGAGGACACGGUGGGGUUAUGUCUGACGUAGGUAGGUGUUCAGGAUCAUUCAUAUGAUCAUCAGUAGUCAUGUCCGUUAUGCGUAGAUCUUCCCUCUCUUAUUUCUGGUACUCGUAAGUGUAGCCACCUAAUAUAUGCUUAGCCGCUGCUGCAACCUCACCACUUAACCAUACCUCACCCAUUAAGCUUUGCUAGUCUUGAUACCUUUGGAAAUGAGAUUGCUGAGUCCCCUGUGGCUCACAGAUUACUACAACACCAGUUGCAGGUACAGGUAAAGGUUACUUGACGCGAGCGCGUUGAUUGUUCAUUUGGAGUUGCUUCUUCUUCCUCUUCUUCAUCGAUCUAGGAUGGGUUCCACGCCGGCAGCCUGGGAUAGCAAGGAUGGACGUCGUUCUUCUUUUCUUGUUUGUUUUCGUCCGUACUCAAACCGUGCUCUUACUCUUGAUGAUUAUGUAAUGUACUGAUGUGACUCUGAUGUAGCUUGUGGCGAGUGUAAGCCAAUUCUAUUAUAUCUCUUCUUUUCAGUACAUGUACUUGUAAUGAU